This 433-nucleotide ribosomal RNA is filed under the name uncultured bacterium. Its description in RNAcentral is "partial 16S ribosomal RNA". It matches the Rfam family "Bacterial small subunit ribosomal RNA", at positions 29 to 507 of the family's 1533-position model. The record is from RNAcentral.
AACGAACGCUGGCGGCAUGCCUAACACAUGCAAGUCGAACGGGACCUUCGGGUUUGGUGCCGCACGGGUGCGUAACCCGUGGGAACCUGCCUUUGGGUCUGGCUUAACUCCCGGAAUGGGGUGCUAAUACCGGAUAUUGUCUCCGAACCAAAGUUUUAUCGCCUUUGGAUGGGCCCGCGUGGGAUUAGCUAGUUGGUAGGGUAAAAGCCUACCAAGGCGACGAUCCAUAGCUGGUUUGAGAGGCUGAUCAGCCACACUGGGACUGAGACACGGCCCAGACUCCUACGGGAGGCAGCAGUGGGGAAUAUUGGACAAUGGGCGAAAGCCUGAUCCAGCAAUGCCGCGUGAGUGAUGAAGGCCUUAGGGUUGUAAAGCUCUUUUACCCGGGAUGAUAAUGACAGUACCGGGAGAAUAAGCUCCGGCUAACUCCGUG